RNAcentral lists this unclassified non-coding RNA (279 nucleotides) under plant metagenome. RNAcentral's name for it is "partial contains small subunit ribosomal RNA, internal transcribed spacer 1, and 5.8S ribosomal RNA". The record is from RNAcentral.
UCUCCGUAGGUGAACCAGCGGAAGGAUCAUUAACGAGUUGGGGUACUCUAAGCCAUACUUAACAUCCCUAUGCGUAUUUAACCUCUGUUGCUUCGGCGGACCCCCCUCACGCCCGCCCGAGGCCCGCUGCAAGCCGCCCUCUGGCCAGCAGCCGGCGACGGCCAACCACCUAAACCCUGUAUGAAUCGUGUCAUAUGUCUAAGACAACUAUCAACUUAAAGCAAAAUUUUCAACAACGGAACUCAUGACUCUGGCAUCCAGGAAGAACGCAGCAGAACC